GGGAAGGCCGGGCUGCCAAAAUGCCACGGAGAACGUGCUUAUUUCUGUUGGAGAUAGUUAGUGUUCAUUAACAAUUGGGAAGCUGCUCUGGCCUCGGACACAGGCUGUGCCACCCUGGGCAAGUCAUCUGUAAAAAGGAGCUGCAGAAAUGACGCCCCCUCCUGGGCCCCGAGGAGUUCAGGGAGAGGCUGACGCGGUUGGAAAAUGACCACGGCACAAACUCAGAUGUUAAUUGAGCGUAUGGGAGGUGGUUAAGGCUGGUGUGGGGGUGGCCCUGCUAGUAGGGGCCAACUUAUCCUUUAGGGGAAUAGGCGUUGCGAGGCUUACGGAAGGCAACCAGGCGGCAGCGAUGAGAGCCAGGACCGCCGGGGGGCGCUGUUUCAGAGGAGACAAGCGAGCAAAUAGCCACUCAUUCAGCCCCGCCGGGUUCCGGGCGCUCACUGAGGGGUCUCGCGGGAUCUUGGCAAACUUCCUGGCAGGUAGUUGCUAUUAUUAUAUCCAUUUUGCAAAUGAGGAUUUUGAGGCAGGCGACGGUUAAGUGACUUGCCCGGGUCACCUACGGGGUCAAACGGGUGAUAAGGGUUGGAGCGUCUACCUAAACUCGCUUCCUGGGUCACAGAGCUGCGAAGAAAAUCUCUGGGAGAGGAACUUUUUUAAAAAAGAAAGGGGAAAAGAAUGACUUCUGUUUUGAGUUUGGUGGCUUCAGGAAAUUGCAUAGAUCUGCAACUUUGGAGAGAGACUAGCGUUGGCCGUAUCGGUCUGGGAGUCAUUUGCACAGAAAUCAUGGAACUCCUGAGGUUGAAAGCCGUCAUCAAGUAGGAGUGAAGAGAGAAGGCCUUGGCCGUGUGACACGAAUGAUGACCCAGCUAAAGAAAGGGAAACUCCAGAGGUUAGGCAGGCAAUCAGGUGUAAAACUUAUCCAAAGUCACACAUCUAGUAAAGCUGAGCUGAACUCAAGUCCUUCUGAUUCCAGGGUCCUGUGAUGGGCAUUUUGGAGCAUUUCAAAAUUGCUUACAAUCCAGCAGGGAAAU
Molecule: long non-coding RNA, 1031 nt
Filed under: Sarcophilus harrisii (Tasmanian devil)
Lineage: Eukaryota; Metazoa; Chordata; Mammalia; Dasyuromorphia; Dasyuridae
Description: lncRNA (ENSSHAG00000031506.1)
Source: RNAcentral